RNAcentral lists this unclassified non-coding RNA (253 nucleotides) under uncultured Verrucomicrobiota bacterium. Its description in RNAcentral is "uncultured Verrucomicrobia bacterium contains 16S-23S intergenic spacer region". It matches the Rfam family "Bacterial small subunit ribosomal RNA", at positions 524 to 776 of the family's 1533-position model. Lineage: Bacteria; Pseudomonadati; Verrucomicrobiota. The record is from RNAcentral.
GACGUAGGGGGCGAGCGUUGUUCGGAAUCACUGGGCGUAAAGGGAGCGUAGGCGGCAUGGUAAGUCAGAUGUGAAAUCCCGGGGCUCAACCCCGGAACUGCAUUUGAUACUGCCGUGCUUGAGUAAUGGAGGGGUAGCUGGAAUUCUCGGUGUAGCAGUGAAAUGCGUAGAGAUCGAGAGGAACACUCGUGGCGAAGGUGAGCUACUGGACAUUUACUGACGCUGAGGCUCGAAGGCCAGGGUAGCGAAAGGG